RNAcentral lists this ribosomal RNA (228 nucleotides) under Triticum aestivum (bread wheat). RNAcentral describes it as "partial small subunit ribosomal RNA". The record is from RNAcentral. Lineage: Eukaryota; Viridiplantae; Streptophyta; Magnoliopsida; Poales; Poaceae.
AUGAAUUGCAUGAGCUGGAACUAUCGAGGGCUUGGGAACCCAUCGACAGUUCGAGAGCUUCGCAAGAUUGUGAAGCAAGAAGGCCCCUCCCUCCUCUUUGUCAUGGAAACAAAGAUUAGGGGACAGCGUGUGGAGCACCUGAAAUUUGUUCUAGGCUUCAAAGGUUGGUUCGCGGUGGAUAGCGAUGGUUUGAGUGGUGGCAUUGGCUUGUUCUGGACUGAUGAUAUA